GCCGGGCACAGUGGCACGUGCCUGUAGUCCCAGCUACUCGGGAGGCUAAGGUGGGAGGAUCGCUUGAGUCCAGGAGUUCUGGGCUGUAGUGUGCUAUGCUGAUUGGGUGUCCGCACUAAGUUCAGCAUCAAUAUGGUGACCUCCUGGAAGCGGGGGACCGCCAGAUUUCCUAAGGAGAGGUGAACUGGCCCAGGUGGGAUACGAAGCAGGUCAAAACUCCUGUGCUGAUUAGUAGUGGGCUUGCGCCUGUGAAUAGCCACUGCACUCCAGCCUGGGCAACAAAGUGAGACCCUGUCUCU
This 299-nucleotide signal recognition particle RNA is filed under the name Aotus nancymaae (Ma's night monkey). RNAcentral describes it as "Metazoan signal recognition particle RNA (ENSANAG00000008326.1)". It matches the Rfam family "Metazoan signal recognition particle RNA". Rfam says of the family: The signal recognition particle (SRP) is a universally conserved ribonucleoprotein. The record is from RNAcentral. Lineage: Eukaryota; Metazoa; Chordata; Mammalia; Primates; Aotidae.